RNAcentral lists this long non-coding RNA (2375 nucleotides) under Triticum aestivum (bread wheat). RNAcentral describes it as "long non-coding RNA (TAES_LNC012731)". The record is from RNAcentral. Lineage: Eukaryota; Viridiplantae; Streptophyta; Magnoliopsida; Poales; Poaceae.
AAAACCCAAUGAACAAAAAAAAAUAUCAAUGGUUUUAUACAUAGCUAUUCCAUAACUCAAAAUAUUUAGAACAUAGAAACAUCACUAUCAAUUGUUUCCAUCACCAGAGAUACAAAUUCACAUGUCUUCGGAUACAGUUCCAUAUAAUUUACAUACAUGAAUCGAAGGUCAAUGAAAACAGAGGUGCAACAUCUAAAAACACACAAGUGCAUCAACUAAAUGUACAUAAGAAGAGACCUCAUUUUCUAUAAUCUUUGGUUACAGCUUAAGUUGCAAGCCUCUCUUCAAGGUUACCCUGCAGUGGACAUAUAAUUGAACUUGUAAAAAUAUGCAAAGUGUCAACAGUUUGCUACAAAAAGGUAACAAGAAAGAGGAACAAUAUCUAUAAGAUAUAAUAAGCAUAAUCUACUUGGUAUAUCAGUUUCUCACAAUAAUAUUCGCACAUAUACCCAACUUGUUUUUGUCCCAUCAAAGUUGCCCAGUUUUACAGCUUAUAGACUAAUAAUGGAGUAAUUUGUUAGCAUCAUAUCUCGGAUUUGAUACAAAUCAUGCAACUGGCAAAAUCUAUUUAAAUGACAACCUGAGAACAUGCUUCUGGACCAGUUUGACAUAAUUAUCAGCUAACUUCCUAAGCUCAUUUAGAGACUUCUUGCGAGAAAUCACACUACAAUGUCAAUACUCUUAAGUCCAUCCAUUUCAAAUUUUCAAGAAAAAUGGGCAGAGUCAUCAUCAUCUCCACAAGAGUAAAAAAGCCAAAACAUUAUGCAAUUAUUCGAUAAUGUAACGGCAUGGGAACUGUACAUCAUGGUGAGACAAUAAAAGACCCCAAAGAAAUGGAAAGAGGUUGAUUUCAGACUAAACUAACAUAGCAACUACUGGCUCAAUAAUGUUGAUCUCAUGAUCUUGGGCACACUGGACGUAGCAUGAUAUAUUUUAAAUAUACAAGAGAAAACUUGACUGACAAUUAUUCCUGAUAAAACUUUGGGGCUGAUGGUGAACGCAAAAGUAAAAAUACCUUGAUUAGAGGCUCUUGCAUAUCUCAUAGAUCCCGACUCUUGAAUUUUGCUCCUAAUAAGAAUGAAUUGCAAACUAGAAAAAUAAGAGCUCAAUCAGGUGUUGAUCAAUAUUUACUUUCUAGGUUCAUGUGCAUAGAAUAACAAAAUAUGAAAGGGAAUAGUGCCACUUCAGUUGGAAGAGUCUUAUUCAAUUUCUUGAAAUUGAGUGAUACCUCAACCACCUGCUUUUGCCUCUAUGUUUCACUGAUGGUGUUCGUUUAAUUCUUCCCAAAAACCUAACAUAAUGAAAGAGACUAAAAUGAGAAGGUAUGGACAAACAAGUUAGAGAGCAAACUGUUACUGUACUGGAUAGUAAGGCAAUCAAAAAAUCACAAAAAAAUACAAUGCAACACUACCAGGCAAAGGGAUGACCCCAAACAGAGGAUAGUUGUUACUUGAUGCAUUAGUAAGUUAGUACAGAGGUUCAGAACAACAAUGUAAGGAGUGACAUCCAUUCAUCUAUGCAAUGUACUGAUAAUUUUCAGAGCAAUGCAAUGUCUACUUGUCAUCGCACCCAGACACUGGCAUCCACCUUGUACAACUAAGAACUACAAUCAUCUAGUUCCAGCAAUGUAGAAAAACACUCAGCAAGAUUGCGCACCUUCUCCAGCAGGAACAACCAAUUGUAUGCUUGCCCUGCAAUUGUUCAAUCUUUAAUAUACGAAAGAAAACGAAAUACAACUUAAGGGAGAAGGAAGAACACGGUGAGCUUAAAUAUGAGGAAUACACAAGAACUGUUAAGUACUAGAUAAUAAGAGAAUAUGAAAUUCCAAGAAGCAAGUAGUAAAAGGAGUAACUAAAUUAAGAUGACAGAUAGUAUGGCCCAUGAUAGGAGCCCCUGAACAUAUCUUUGUCUUGUUAAUUGUUAAAACAGAGCGUUCAUAUCUUGAGCAUAGCUGGUGGUACUAGGCCUUUCCUGAUACAGUUUCAUUGUCAAUACUCUGAAAUAUAAUGUUUAGGUGCAUUUCAGAUGUUCUGAAGAUAGCAUGAUCUUGCAAGAUAGAAAACUUGAAUCGAAAUUAAUCAAUACAUGAAUUUGGAGACAGGUAGGGAAAUAACAGUAUGUACCAUACCAUGUCAAGGGCAGAGGAUAUUACACCUCUCUUAUAGCUGGAUCAUGAACCUUAAAUCGUACUACUGAUCUGGAUGAACUGUAACAAGGAAAAGGAGAUCUCAGAUGGGUGUUCAUAAGUAUCAAAGUGGGGAGUGGCACAUACUAUUUGGAACAAAAAUAUGAGACUAUUUCUCGCCGUCGAGUGAAUCUGGACUUCUUGCACUGAUGAUGUUCCUCAUAUUUGCAAUGCGGCUGCUCGGUGCUUC